This 468-nucleotide ribosomal RNA is filed under the name uncultured bacterium. RNAcentral describes it as "partial 16S ribosomal RNA". It matches the Rfam family "Bacterial small subunit ribosomal RNA", at positions 28 to 507 of the family's 1533-position model. The record is from RNAcentral.
GAUGAACGCUGGCGGCGUGCUUAACACAUGCAAGUCGAACGGAAAGGCCCAAGCUUGCUUGGGUACUCGAGUGGCGAACGGGUGAGUAACACGUGGGUGAUCUGCCCUGCACUUCGGGAUAAGCCUGGGAAACUGGGUCUAAUACCGGAUAGGACGAUGGUUUGGAUGCCAUUGUGGAAAGUUUUUUCGGUGUGGGAUGAGCUCGCGGCCUAUCAGCUUUUUGGUGGGGUAAUGGCCUACCAAGGCGUCGACGGGUAGCCGGCCUGAGAGGGUGUACGGCCACAUUGGGACUGAGAUACGGGCCAGACUCCGACGGGAGGCAGAAGUGGGGAAUAUUGCACGAUGGGCGCAAGCCUGAUGCAGCGACGCCGCGUGGGGGAUGACGGCCUUCGGGUGGUAAACUCCUUUGGCUAGGGACGAAGCGUUUUUGUGACGGUACCUGGAGAAGAAGCACCGGCUAACUACGUG